This 259-nucleotide ribosomal RNA is filed under the name uncultured bacterium. Its description in RNAcentral is "partial 16S ribosomal RNA". It matches the Rfam family "Bacterial small subunit ribosomal RNA", at positions 335 to 612 of the family's 1533-position model. The record is from RNAcentral.
ACUCCUACGGGAGGCAGCAGUGGGAAUCUUGGACAAUGGGCGCAAGCCUGAUCCAGCCAUGCCGCGUGAGUGACGAAGGCCUUAGGGUUGUAAAGCUCUUUUAGCAGGGAAGAUAAUGACGGUACCUGCAGAAUAAGCCCCGCGUACAUUCGUGCCAGCAGCCGCGGUGAUACGAAGGGGCGUAGCGUUGUUCGGAAUUACUGGGCGUAAAGGGCGCGUAGGCGGACAUUUAAGUCAGGGGUGAAAUCCCGGGGCUCAA